This is a long non-coding RNA of Hippocampus zosterae (dwarf seahorse), 605 nucleotides long. RefSeq lists it as uncharacterized. The record is from RefSeq and is a predicted model, not a curated record. The transcript is spliced from 3 exons. Lineage: Eukaryota; Metazoa; Chordata; Actinopteri; Syngnathiformes; Syngnathidae.
UGCACAAUCCAGGGGUGCGGACAUAUGUUUGUACCUCGGAACGACACAUAUUUCAAUGUAAACUCCUGAGGGACGAAUCCCCUGACAAAGUCGGCUCAUCAACUCCGCCCCAAAUGCCAAGGCAGACGGAAUAACAGCAACAAUGUACCACGGGCUUACCAGGAAAACCCGCGACGGGUCAGAGAUUUGUCUGUCAAACAAAGUCAAAUGAUUGCAAGACAGCAGCAAUCAGUGCUGCUAAUGCGGGAAGAUUCAGGUAAAUUUGCAUGGUGACAGGAGGAGAGCAGAAGAUGGAUAUUAACUAACUGUAUAUAUUGCGACGAGCAUUACAACCCCAUUGAAAGAAAAAUAACAGCAAAAGAGCAGACCUGAAUACCGAUGUCAAGGCGUCAAGAUGGGUGGAUUUGAUUUGAGAAUCUCGACAGUCAAAACCUCAACGUGGGUGCUCCGAACAAACUUAAAAGUGACAUGAUCGUCGUUAAACACAAAAAUAUUGAGUUGAUCUGACAUUAAUGUAAAUCCUUUUCCGUACAAUUUAAGAAAUCUCACAACAAUGACAGCUAAAUGUACUGUCAUUGCAGUUAUUACAUUUGUUGCCAAUUAAA